CUUUGUGUUCUUAGUGCUAUGUGUCCAUUUAGUAUUUAUAUAAAGCUGAGCUGAGUGGUGUAUUCGAGUCUCAUCAACACUCACUAUGAAGAUCCCACUCUCCUUGCUCCUGCUAUUAAUCACCAUCAUCAGUGUGAAAUGUGAAAGUCUCGAGUCAUUACAAACAACAGUGCAAAAGAAACCUGGAGAAACUCUGAGUCUCUCCUGCAGAGGAUCUGGGUUUACUUUCGGAAGCUACAGCAUGCACUGGAUCAGACAACAGGCGAACAAACCACUGGUGUGGAUGGGGCAUAUCUAUACUGAUGGCAGUGUCACUAGGUAUAGUAAACCUUUUGAAGGCAGAACAGAAAUCACCAGAGAUAAUUCCAACAGCAUGGCAUAUCUCAAACUCUCUGGUGUGACAGCAGAGGACACGGCUGUGUAUUACUGUGCAAGAGACACAGUAGCACAAAGAUGAGGAAACACUGUACAA
Clarias gariepinus (North African catfish) is the source of this 472-nucleotide non-coding RNA. NCBI's taxonomy places the organism in Eukaryota, Metazoa, Chordata, Actinopteri, Siluriformes, Clariidae. The record is from the annotation of a RefSeq genome assembly.